GAGUUUGAUCCUGGCUCAGGAUGAACGCUGGCGGCGUGCCUAAUACAUGCAAGUCGAGCGAACAGACGAGGAGCUUGCUCCUCUGACGUUAGCGGCGGACGGGUGAGUAACACGUGGAUAACCUACCUAUAAGACUGGGAUAACUUCGGGAAACCGGAGCUAAUACCGAAUAAUAUAUUGAACCGCAUGGUUCAAUAGUGAAAAACGGUUUUGCUGUCACUUAUAGAUGGAUCCGCGCCGCAUUAGCUAGUUGGUAGGGUAACGGCUUACCAAGGCGACGAUGCGUAGCCGACCUGAGAGGGUGAUCGGCCACACUGGAACUGAGACACGGUCCAGACUCCUACGGGAGGCAGCAGUAGGGAAUCUUCCGCAAUGGGCGAAAGCCUGACGGAGCAACGCCGCGUGAGUGAUGAAGGUCUUCGGAUCGUAAAACUCUGUUAUUAGGGAAGAACAAAUGUGUGAGUAACUAUGCACGUCUUGACGGUACCUAAUCAGAAGCCACGGCUAACUACGUGCCAG
This 519-nucleotide ribosomal RNA is filed under the name uncultured microorganism. Its description in RNAcentral is "bacterial SSU rRNA". It matches the Rfam family "Bacterial small subunit ribosomal RNA", at positions 9 to 511 of the family's 1533-position model. The record is from RNAcentral.